Molecule: ribosomal RNA, 468 nt
Filed under: uncultured bacterium
Lineage: Bacteria
Description: partial 16S ribosomal RNA
Rfam family: Bacterial small subunit ribosomal RNA
Source: RNAcentral
GAUGAACGCUGGCGGCGUGCUUAACACAUGCAAGUCGAACGGUGAAGGCGGAGCUUGCUCUGCUGGAUCAGUGGCGAACGGGUGAGUAACACGUGAGCAAUCUGCCCCUGACUCUGGGAUAAGCGCUGGAAACGGCGUCUAAUACUGGAUACGAGCUGCGAAGGCAUCUUCAGCAGCUGGAAAGAACUUCGGUCAGGGAUGAGCUCGCGGCCUAUCAGCUUGUUGGUGAGGUAACGGCUCACCAAGGCGUCGACGGGUAGCCGGCCUGAGAGGGUGACCGGCCACACUGGGACUGAGACACGGCCCAGACUCCUACGGGAGGCAGCAGUGGGGAAUAUUGCACAAUGGGCGGAAGCCUGAUGCAGCAACGCCGCGUGCGGGAUGACGGCCUUCGGGUUGUAAACCGCUUUCGCCUGUGACGAAGCGUGAGUGACGGUAAUGGGUAAAGAAGCACCGGCUAACUACGUG